RNAcentral lists this non-coding RNA (335 nucleotides) under Blumeria hordei DH14. RNAcentral describes it as "Blumeria graminis f. sp. hordei DH14 Eukaryotic large subunit ribosomal RNA". It matches the Rfam family "Eukaryotic large subunit ribosomal RNA", at positions 3059 to 3401 of the family's 3401-position model. Lineage: Eukaryota; Fungi; Ascomycota; Leotiomycetes; Helotiales; Erysiphaceae. The record is from Rfam by way of RNAcentral.
AUUGGUUUUUGCGGCUGUCUGACAAGGCAGUGCCGCGAAGCUACCAUCUGCUGGAUAAUGGCUGAACGCCUCUAAGUCAGAAUCCAUGCCAGAACGCGGCGAUUUCCUCCCACACAUCGUAGUCGGAUACGAAUAGGCCUAUGGCCCUGAAUCUUAGCUAGUUGGCAAUGGGACAGCGGGAGAAGUCCACUGUCUCAGCUGACGCCUUGCAAUUUUACCAUGCGUGGGGAUAAAACCUUUGCAUACGACUUAGUUAUAUCAGACGGUGCUGUAAAUAGUAGAGUAGUCUUGUUAUUACGAUCUAUUGAGGCUAAGCCGCGCUGAUUUAGUUUUGU